GAUGAACGCUGGCGGCGUGCCUAAUACAUGCAAGUCGAGCGAACAGACGAGGAGCUUGCUCCUCUGACGUUAGCGGCGGACGGGUGAGUAACACGUGGAUAACCUACCUAUAAGACUGGGAUAACUUCGGGAAACCGGAGCUAAUACCGGAUAAUCUAUUGAACCGCAUGGUACAAUAGUGAAAGACGGUUUUGCUGUCACUUAUAGCGGGAUCCGCGCCGCAUUAGCUAGUUGGUAAGGUAACGGCUUACCAAGGCUACGAUGCGUAGCCGAACUGAGAGGGUGAUCGGCCACACGGGAAGGGAGACGCGGUCCAGACUACUACGGGAGGGAGCAGUAGGGAAUCGUCCGCAAAGGGCGAAAGUCUGACGGAGCAACGGCGCGUGAGUGAUAAAGGCCUUCGGAGCGUAAAACCCUGUUACGAGGUAAGAACAAAUGUGUAAGUAACUAUGGCCGUCGUGACGGUACUGAAUCAGAAAGCCACGGCUAACUACGUG
This 497-nucleotide ribosomal RNA is filed under the name uncultured bacterium. RNAcentral describes it as "partial 16S ribosomal RNA". It matches the Rfam family "Bacterial small subunit ribosomal RNA", at positions 28 to 507 of the family's 1533-position model. The record is from RNAcentral.